GCCGCGGUUGUAGCCGAGGUGGUAAAGCGUUCGGCUCAAAACCGAAAGGGCGCUGGUUCGAAUCCCGCUUGCGGCC
RNAcentral lists this transfer RNA (76 nucleotides) under Rhipicephalus sanguineus (brown dog tick). Its description in RNAcentral is "transfer RNA leucine (anticodon CAA)". It matches the Rfam family "tRNA". Rfam says of the family: Transfer RNA (tRNA) molecules are approximately 80 nucleotides in length. Their secondary structure includes four short double-helical elements and three loops (D, anti-codon, and T loops). The record is from RNAcentral. Lineage: Eukaryota; Metazoa; Arthropoda; Arachnida; Ixodida; Ixodidae.